This 467-nucleotide ribosomal RNA is filed under the name uncultured bacterium. RNAcentral's name for it is "partial 16S ribosomal RNA". It matches the Rfam family "Bacterial small subunit ribosomal RNA", at positions 28 to 507 of the family's 1533-position model. The record is from RNAcentral.
GACGAACGCUGGCGGCGUGCUUAACACAUGCAAGUCUAACGGAAAGGCCCUGCUUUUGUGGGGUGCUCGAGUGGCGAACGGGUGAGUAACACGUGAGUAACCUGCCCUUGACUUUGGGAUAACUUCAGGAAACUGGGGCUAAUACCGGAUAGGAGCUCCUGCUGCAUGGUGGGGGUUGGAAAGUUUCGGCGGUUGGGGAUGGACUCGCGGCUUAUCAGCUUGUUGGUGGGGUAGUGGCUUACCAAGGCUUUGACGGGUAGCCGGCCUGAGAGGGUGACCGGCCACAUUGGGACUAGAUACGGCCCAGACUCCUACGGGAGGCAGCAGUGGGGAAUAUUGCACAAUGGGCGGAAGCCUGAUGCAGCAACGCCGCGUGCGGGAUGACGGCCUUCGGGUUGUAAACCGCUUUCGCCUGUGACGAAGCGUGAGUGACGGUAAUGGGUAAAGAAGCACCGGCUAACUACGUG